UCAGAAACUCAAAGGAAUUGACGGGGCCCGCACAAGCGGUGGAGUAUGUGGUUUAAUUCGAUGCAACGCGAAGAACCUUACCUGGUCUUGACAUCCCGGAGACCCUUAGGAAACUAGGGGGUGCUUCCAUCUGGAAGAAUCUGGAGACAGGUGCUGCAUGGCUGUCGUCAGCUCGUGUCGUGAGAUGUUGGGUUAAGUCCCGCAACGAGCGCAACCCUUGCCUUUAGUUGCCAGCAGUUCGGCUGGGCACUCUAAAGGGACUGCCGGUGUUAAACCGGAGGAAGGUGGGGAUGACGUCAAGUCCUCAUGGCCUUUAUGACCAGGGCUACACACGUACUACAAUGGCCGAUACAAAGGGCAGCGACACUGCGAGGUGAAGCCAAUCCCGUAAAAUCGGUCUCAGUCCGGAUUGGAGUCUGCAACUCGACUCCAUGAAGUUGGAAUCGCUAGUAAUCGUGGAUCAGCAUGCCACGGUGAAUACGUUCCCGGGCCUU
This 494-nucleotide ribosomal RNA is filed under the name uncultured Desulfobulbus sp. RNAcentral's name for it is "bacterial SSU rRNA". It matches the Rfam family "Bacterial small subunit ribosomal RNA", at positions 893 to 1382 of the family's 1533-position model. Lineage: Bacteria; Pseudomonadati; Thermodesulfobacteriota; Desulfobulbia; Desulfobulbales; Desulfobulbaceae. The record is from RNAcentral.